GGACCGUUAGCUCAACUGGCAGAGCAACUGACUCUUAAUCAGUAGGUUGCAGGUUCGAGUCCCGCACGGUCCA
Molecule: transfer RNA, 73 nt
Filed under: Candidatus Rifleibacteriota bacterium
Lineage: Bacteria; Candidatus Rifleibacteriota
Description: tRNA-Lys
Rfam family: tRNA
About the family: Transfer RNA (tRNA) molecules are approximately 80 nucleotides in length. Their secondary structure includes four short double-helical elements and three loops (D, anti-codon, and T loops).
Source: RNAcentral